RNAcentral lists this ribosomal RNA (495 nucleotides) under uncultured bacterium. RNAcentral describes it as "partial 16S ribosomal RNA". It matches the Rfam family "Bacterial small subunit ribosomal RNA", at positions 28 to 507 of the family's 1533-position model. The record is from RNAcentral.
GAUGAACGCUGGCGGCGUGCCUAAUACAUGCAAGUCGAACGCUGAAGGAGGAGCUUGCUCUUCUGGAUGAGUUGCGAACGGGUGAGUAACGCGUAGGUAACCUGCCUGGUAGCGGGGGAUAACUAUUGGAAACGAUAGCUAAUACCGCAUGACAACAGUUAUUGCAUGAUAACUGUUUAAAAGGGGCAACUGCUCCACUACCAGAUGGACCUGCGUUGUAUUAGCUAGUUGGUGAGGUAACGGCUCACCAAGGCGACGAUACAUAGCCGACCUGAGAGGGGGAUCGGCCACACUGGGACUGAGACACGGCCCAGACUCCUACGGGAGGCAGCAGUAGGGAAUCUUCGGCAAUGGACGGAAGUCUGACCGAGCAACGCCGCGUGAGUGAAGAAGGUUUUCGGAUCGUAAAGCUCUGUUGUAAGAGAAGAACGAGUGUGAGAGUGGAAAGUUCACACUGUGACGGUAGCUUACCAGAAAGGGACGGCCAACUACGUG